Long non-coding RNA from Cucumis sativus (cucumber), 1042 nucleotides. RefSeq lists it as uncharacterized. The record is from RefSeq and is a predicted model, not a curated record. The transcript has 4 exons. NCBI's taxonomy places the organism in Eukaryota, Viridiplantae, Streptophyta, Magnoliopsida, Cucurbitales, Cucurbitaceae.
CGGGCAAACAGGUAACGGGUCAGAGGCUGUCCCCGUUUAGCUCAAGGGAAAUUUUCAUUCCCCCACGGGAAUCUCCGCUGGCCCGUCCCCGUGGGAAAUUAGACAUGCCCAGUCGUCAAUACAAUCAAAUUUCUACCCUAAUCUUUCGAGAAUUACUCUGCGGAAAGAAGAAAAACCUGUGGAGAACUCGAUGAAGGUGGUAGUGCUGUUGGUAUGUUUCGGGAGGGAGCCAUUUUGGUAGGGAUUUCCAGAGCCGGUUGCCAAUAAAAUGGGUUGGAAAGCCAGGGAAGCGGUGAAUUGGAGCUGGAAAGCCAUGUAGAGAAGAUCUCCAUGAACAACGACUACAGAGACGCCAUUUGGUUCCACCCACGCCACCACAGCGCUCGAUCCCACCAUACUCCCAUUUCGGGAGAAUCCAACUCCAAUCCAUCUGUGAUUAUGCUUCCCUGAUAAAACGAUCGUCGUCACGUUCUGACCGUCCUGGUAAAACUGCAUUCAACCAUCAAAAUGGAAAAUUUCUGAUUCCAAAUGAGGGAGCAAGAGAGGCUGGAGAGAUCAGAAUAUGGUGGAGGAAGAAUGGCUCUGCGUUUCGAAUUGCAGGUUGCGGAAGGAUUGGCCGUGUUCGAAUUGGCGAUGACAGCUUUGAGAUUGAAUCCGACCGUGGAUAUGAAGCAGAAGAGUGAAAGGAGAAGUUUGUUUGAAGAAUACGAAAGUGCCAUUUUCUUAGCAUUUCACUUUCUUUGUCUCUCUAAUCCUCUCUCUCUUUACGCAGAAAGCUUGCUUGAGAUAGCCAUUAAUGGAAGUACACAUUUUUUGAUCAAACAAGUGGAAGGUGGAGAAGGAAAAAGGGCAUUGGAUCACGCUUGACCAUUGUACUCAUCAACCCAAGGAUUUUGGUUAAAAAUGAUUUUACCAAAUGGUAAGAGAAAGUAAUUUUUAAUUAGUUUCCAGAUAAUACUGAAGAAAAAAUGUUGCUCAUAUCUCAACUUUAAUGUUUCUAUAAUUAAACAUUCCAAAGUUUAAAAAACAUCUUUACAAUUUU